AAAGGAAGAUUAAUACCCCAUAAUAUAUUGAAUGGCAUCAUUCGAUAUUGAAAACUCCGGUGGAUAGAGAUGGGCACGCGCAAGAUUACCAUAGUUGGUGAGGUAACGGCUCACCGAGUCUGCGAUCUUUAGCGGGGCCUGAGAGGGUGAUCCCCCACACUGGCACUGAGACACGGACCAGACUCCUACGCGGAGGCAGCAGUGAGGAAUAUUAGGACAAUGAGGUGACAGCCUGAUCCAGCCAUCCCGCGUGAAGGACGACGGCCCUAUGGGUUGUAAACUUCUUUUGUAUAUGGAUAAACCUACUCUCGUGAGAGUAGCUGAAGGUACUAUACGAAUAAGCACCGGCUAACUCCGUGCCAGCAGCCGCGGUAAUACCGAGGGUGCAAGCGUUAUCCGGAUUUAUUGGGUUUAAAGGGUCCGUAGGCGGAUUUGUAAUCCAGUGGUGAAAUCUCACAGCUUAGCUGUGAAACUGCCAUUGAUACUGCAAGUCUUGAGUGUUGUUGAAGUAUCUGGAGUAGAUAAUGUAACGGUGAAAUGCAUAGAUAUUACUUAGAACACCAAUUGCGAAGGCAGGUUACUAAGCGACAACUAGACGCUGAUGGACGAAAUGAGUGUGGAAGAGAACAAGGAUUAGGAUACCCCUGGUAGGUCCACGCCAGUAUACGAUGCUAACUCCGUUUUUGAAGCGCGAGCUUCAGAAGACUAAGCCGAA
This 715-nucleotide ribosomal RNA is filed under the name Chryseobacterium indologenes. RNAcentral describes it as "bacterial SSU rRNA". It matches the Rfam family "Bacterial small subunit ribosomal RNA", at positions 154 to 856 of the family's 1533-position model. The record is from RNAcentral. Lineage: Bacteria; Pseudomonadati; Bacteroidota; Flavobacteriia; Flavobacteriales; Weeksellaceae.